Molecule: ribosomal RNA, 624 nt
Filed under: Oenococcus oeni
Lineage: Bacteria; Bacillati; Bacillota; Bacilli; Lactobacillales; Lactobacillaceae
Description: bacterial SSU rRNA
Rfam family: Bacterial small subunit ribosomal RNA
Source: RNAcentral
CAUGUGAUCUGUUUGAAAGGUCCUUUUGGAUCGCUAGAGGAUGGUCUUGCGGCGUAUUAGCUUGUUGGUAGGGUAGAAGCCUACCAAGGCAAUGAUGCGUAGCCGAGUUGAGAGACUGGCCGGCCACAUUGGGACUGAGACACUGCCCAAACUCCUACGGGAGGCUGCAGUAGGGAAUUUUCCGCAAUGCACGAAAGUGUGACGGAGCGACGCCGCGUGUGUGAUGAAGGCUUUCGGGUCGUAAAGCACUGUUGUAAGGGAAGAAUAACUGAAUUCAGAGAAAGUUUUCAGCUUGACGGUACCUUACCAGAAAGGGAUGGCUAAAUACGUGCCAGCAGCCGCGGUAAUACGUAUGUCCCGAGCGUUAUCCGGAUUUAUUGGGCGUAAAGCGAGCGCAGACGGUUUAUUAAGUCUGAUGUGAAAUCCCGAGGCCCAACCUCGGAACUGCAUUGGAAACUGAUUUACUUGAGUGCGAUAGAGGCAAGUGGAACUCCAUGUGUAGCGGUGAAAUGCGUAGAUAUGUGGAAGAACACCAGUGGCGAAAGCGGCUUGCUAGAUCGUAACUGACGUUGAGGCUCGAAAGUAUGGGUAGCAAACGGGAUUAGAUACCCCGGUAGUCCAUAC